Tupaia belangeri (northern tree shrew) is the source of this 107-nucleotide small nuclear RNA. The record is from Ensembl. Lineage: Eukaryota; Metazoa; Chordata; Mammalia; Scandentia; Tupaiidae.
GUGUUUGCUUCGGCAGCACAUAUACUACAAUUGGAACAAUACAGAGAAAAUUAGUAUGGCCCCUGCGCAAGGAUGACACGCAAAUUUAUGAAGCAUUCCAUAUUUUU